CGAACACUGGCGGCGUGGAUUAGGCAUGCAAGUCGAACGGUAUGGACCUUUCGGGGUUCAGAGAGUGGCGAACGGGUGAGUAACACGUAGGUAAUCUACCCUCAAGACGGGGACAACCCAGGGAAACUUGGGCUAAUACCGGAUGUGUGUAGUGGCUAUUUUUCUGAUUAUCAUUAUUUACGUAAGUGAGUAAUAAUAAGAAGGGAAAGUGGUUAUUACAUAAAAGGUGGCGUAAGCUGCCGCUUGGGGGAUGAGCCUGCGUCCUAUUAGUUAGUUGGUGAGGUAACGGCUUACCAAGGCGAUGAUAGGUAGGCGGCCUUAACGGGUGGUCGCCCACACUGGGAUUGAGAUACGGCCCAGACUCCUACGGGAGGCAGCAGUCGAGAAUAGUCUACAAUGGACGGAAGUCUGAUAGUGCGACGCCGCGUGAACGAAGAAUCCCUUCGGGGUGUAAAGUUCUUUUAUACGUGAGCAGUGUCCUUUAUAUUAAUAGUAUAAGGGGAGAGAUAUUAGCGUAUGAAUAAGCAACGGCUAACUCCGUG
Molecule: ribosomal RNA, 542 nt
Filed under: uncultured bacterium
Lineage: Bacteria
Description: bacterial SSU rRNA
Rfam family: Bacterial small subunit ribosomal RNA
Source: RNAcentral